UACGGGAGGCAGCAGUGGGGAAUAUUGCACAAUGGGCGCAAGCCUGAUGCAGCCAUGCCGCGUGUAUGAAGAAGGCCUUCGGGUUGUAAAGUAUUUUUCAGCGGGGAGGAAGGCGAUGUGGUUAAUAACCGCGUCGAUUGACGUUACCCGCAGAAGAAGCACCGGCUAACUCCGUGCCAGCAGCCGCGGUAAUACGGAGGGUGCAAGCGUUAAUCGGAAUUACUGGGCGUAAAGCGCACGCAGGCGGUCUGUUAAGUCAGAUGUGAAAUCCCCCGGGCUUAAACCUGGGAACUGCAUUUUGAAACUGGCAGGCUUGAGUCUCGUAGAGGGGGUGAAAUUCCAGGUGUAGCGGUGAAAUGCGUAGAGAUCUGGAGGAAAUACCGGUGGCGAAAGGCGGGCCCCUGGACGAAGACUGACGCUCAGGGUGCGAAAGCGUGGGGAGCAAACAGGAUAGAUACC
This 459-nucleotide ribosomal RNA is filed under the name uncultured bacterium. RNAcentral describes it as "bacterial SSU rRNA". It matches the Rfam family "Bacterial small subunit ribosomal RNA", at positions 340 to 786 of the family's 1533-position model. The record is from RNAcentral.